RNAcentral lists this ribosomal RNA (492 nucleotides) under uncultured bacterium. RNAcentral's name for it is "partial 16S ribosomal RNA". It matches the Rfam family "Bacterial small subunit ribosomal RNA", at positions 28 to 507 of the family's 1533-position model. The record is from RNAcentral.
GAUGAACGCUAGCUACAGGCUUAACACAUGCAAGUCGAGGGGAAACGACAUCGAAAGCUUGCUUUUGAUGGGCGUCGACCGGCGCACGGGUGAGUAACGCGUAUCCAACCUGCCCAUCACUUGGGAAUAACCUUGCGAAAGUAAGACUAAUACCCAAUGAUAUCCCACGAAGGCAUCGGAAUGGGAUUAAAGAUUUAUCGGUGAUGGAUGGGGAUGCGUCUGAUUAGCUUGUUGGCGGGGUAACGGCCCACCAAGGCAACGAUCAGUAGGGGUUCUGAGAGGAAGGUCCCCCACAUUGGAACUGAGACACGGUCCAAACUCCUACGGGAGGCAGCAGUGAGGAAUAUUGGUCAAUGGGCGAGAGCCUGAACCAGCCAAGUAGCGCGCAGGAAGACGGCCCUAUGGGUUGUAAACUGCUUUUAGAAGGGAAUAAAGUGGGUCACGUGUGACUUUUUGCAUGUACCUUAUGAAUAAGGACCGGCUAAUUCCGUG